RNAcentral lists this ribosomal RNA (440 nucleotides) under uncultured bacterium. Its description in RNAcentral is "bacterial SSU rRNA". It matches the Rfam family "Bacterial small subunit ribosomal RNA", at positions 8 to 445 of the family's 1533-position model. The record is from RNAcentral.
AGAGUUUGAUCCUGGCUCAGAGCGAACGCUGGCGGCGUGCUUAACACAUGCAAGUCGAGUGCGCGUCUGUAGCAAUACAGAUGGCGCACGGCGCACGGGUGCGUAACACGUGGGUAAUCUGCCCUUCGAAGGGGAAUAACUCGCCGAAAGGCGAGCUAAUUCCGCAUAACAUUCCAAGAGCUUCGGUUUUUUGGACUCAAAGGCGUAAGUCGUCGGAGGAGGAGCCCGCGCACGAUUAGCUAGUUGGUGGGGUAAUGGCCCACCAAGGCUAUGAUCGUUAGCUGGUCUGAGAGGAUGGCCAGCCACACUGGAACUGAGACACGGUCCAGACUCCUACGGGAGGCAGCAGUGGGGAAUCUUGCACAAUGGGCGAAAGCCUGAUGCAGCGACGCCGCGUGGGGGAUGAAGCUUCUCGGAGUGUAAACCCCUUUCGACCCGGA